RNAcentral lists this ribosomal RNA (1170 nucleotides) under Lacisediminihabitans profunda. Its description in RNAcentral is "bacterial SSU rRNA". The record is from RNAcentral. Lineage: Bacteria; Bacillati; Actinomycetota; Actinomycetes; Micrococcales; Microbacteriaceae.
ACCAANGCGACGACGGUACCCGCCUGARAGGUGACCGGCCMCACUGGGANUGARACACGGCCCAGAUUCCUACGGGAGGCAGCAGUGGGAAUAUGCACAAUGGCGAAAGCCUGAUGCAGCAACGCCGCGUGAGGGAUGACGGCCUUCGGGUUGUAACCUCUUUUAGUAGGGAAGAAGCGAAAGUGACGGUACCUGCAGAAAAAGCACCGGCUAACUACGUGCCAGCAGCCGCGGUAAUACGUAGGGUGCAAGCGUUGUCCGGAAUUAUUGGGCGUAAAGAGCUCGUAGGCGGUUUGUCGCGUCUGCUGUGAAAUCUGGGGGCUCAACCCCCAGCCUGCAGUGGGUACGGGCAGACUAGAGUGCGGUAGGGGAGAUUGGAAUUCCUGGUGUAGCGGUGGAAUGCGCAGAUAUCAGGAGGAACACCGAUGGCGAAGGCAGAUCUCUGGGCCGUAACUGACGCUGAGGAGCGAAAGCAUGGGGAGCGAACAGGAUUAGAUACCCUGGUAGUCCAUGCCGUAAACGUUGGGAACUAGAUGUGGGGGCCAUUCCACGGUCUCCGUGUCGCAGCUAACGCAUUAAGUUCCCCGCCUGGGGAGUACGGCCGCAAGGCUAAAACUCAAAGGAAUUGACGGGGGCCCGCACAAGCGGCGGAGCAUGCGGAUUAAUUCGAUGCAACGCGAAGAACCUUACCAAGGCUUGACAUAUACCGGAAACGUCCAGAGAUGGUCGCCCCGCAAGGUCGGUAUACAGGUGGUGCAUGGUUGUCGUCAGCUCGUGUCGUGAGAUGUUGGGUUAAGUCCCGCAACGAGCGCAACCCUCGUUCUAUGUUGCCAGCACGUUAUGGUGGGAACUCAUAGGAGACUGCCGGGGUCAACUCGGAGGAAGGUGGGGAUGACGUCAAAUCAUCAUGCCCCUUAUGUCUUGGGCUUCACGCAUGCUACAAUGGCCGGUACAAAGGGCUGCGAUACCGUAAGGUGGAGCGAAUCCCAAAAAGCCGGUCUCAGUUCGGAUUGAGGUCUGCAACUCGACCUCAUGAAGUCGGAGUCGCUAGUAAUCGCAGAUCAGCAACGCUGCGGUGAAUACGUUCCCGGGCCUUGUACACACCGCCCGUCAAGUCAUGAAAGUCGGUAACACCCGAAGCCAGUGGCCUAACCCUUGUGGAUGGAGCGU